UCAUUCUCCAACUCUGAAUUCAUUUUCCAGUUACUCUUUCUCUCUCUAAACUCAGUUCCAUUUUCAUCUUCUUGCUCUGACUUCUCUCUACUUUUCUACCACUUUCCACCGUUGAAAUUUCAAAUAGGUGGUGUGCUCUCAUUCACAGAGUUGAGAGCUUCCCUUUCAUCCGAUUGAAAUUCUGAUUUGGACGGGUGGUUGUAGGGCACUGUUUGAGUUUCGCUGUGAAGGCACGGUUAGGGCACUCUAGUUGGUUGUACUGCUCAACUUCAAGAUGGCGAGGAGGUUCCUUUGGAGACAGCUCUGAAGUUGAAGACAAUGCUGCUGUCUAAUGUCCUAGGAUGCUAUUAGUUGAUCUUAUACUCUAGAAUACUAUUUCCCAUUUUAGCUUAUAUUUUAUAUCUUUUUGGAGUUUAAACAUAUAUUCUGAAGUUAUUUUAAGGAUGACUGUAAUUCUAUUUACUCUCAACUGCUUUUAUAUAAUAUGCAUGUGAACGUCUUU
Molecule: long non-coding RNA, 502 nt
Organism: Vigna angularis (adzuki bean)
Lineage: Eukaryota; Viridiplantae; Streptophyta; Magnoliopsida; Fabales; Fabaceae
Exons: 3
Source: RefSeq, a predicted model, not a curated record